UUUGCUGAGUCGCUCAUAGCAACCAAUCCAUUUUUGAAAAGGUCUCUGGAAAAUGAAAGAAGCGAUCUGAUUGGUUGCUAUGGGCAACUCAACAACCUUUUCUCUGGACAGGUUUUGAUAAAUCUCCCGCAAUGUAUGUGUGUUUGUUCCAGCAUCACUUCCAAAUAGCUAAAGAUGUUUCCAGGAAACUUGGUCACAUGUUACUUAUAUGUCAACUAAAAUGUAGGAUAGGUUAUACAACCCUUACCCAUCCCCACUUGUGAGGUUCAGGGUUUUUGUUUAAAGUCUCAUACAAGUCUAUGGGAAAUAUAUGUUACUGCAUAACUUCCAAACAGCUGGAGAUAUUUCAAUAGUACUUGGUCACAUGUUACUUAUUUGUCCACUUAAAAUAUAGGAUAGUUAAUGUAACCCUAAUCUACUCCCUUACAUGAAGGAUUUCUUUUUUCAAGUCCCAUGCAAGUAUAUAGGACUUCCUUAGGCCCCGUUCACAGAGUAAUUCAAGAGGAAUUUUCUUAAGUAAUUCCUCUUGAAUUCUCUGCUCCAAACUAAUGCUCAGCUCCUCUUCCCAUUUGACUUUAAUGUUUUCUUCCACUGUCCUGUUCUUCCGUUGUUGCUUUUCCUCCCCAACAAGAAUUAGGUAGGAAAAACCGGGCAACGCCUGGUACUCAGAUAGUAUUAGAUAAAGUCCAACAUUUCCUGGGAAAACAUAAUCAAACCAUGGCCAAAUCUGUUGUAACCACGCCCUCAAAGUAAUUAUGUGGCUGCCAGGGCAUGAUGGGAGUUAUACUGCUACAGCAGCUUCUGAAGAGCCACGGGUUGGAGAACACUGCUAUAGAGACCUGUGAUAGCCCCUCUGGAAAAGUGAGGCCAUCCUAUGCAGUACAAUAUGAGGAAUUUCCGCCCUUGUGCAUCAGGAUUCAACCUUGCUUUUGGAUUUUCACCUUUCUGUUGGAUUUUGACCCUUUCUUUGGAUUUACAAUGGCUUUGGUUAAGGAGACCCAGCCUGGAUCCUCUUCUCCUGAUGCUCCCCAGGCUUCUGUAGCACCCCCAUCAGUUUCUCAGCCCCGCCAAGGUUCUCCAACCAUGGAGCCUUGGAUGAAGCAGACCAUCGUGCUCAAGCUAAAGGAAGUCGACGGGAGGAUCCCCGACAUGAGCCAGGAUAUUUUUGGGAAGAAGAUGGUCCUGGAGCAGGGAUUCUCUAAAUCGGAAACAGUAAGCAUCCAGUCCUUUUUCACUGGAAUGUUUUAUGUUACCUUUGCCUCCAUUUGAACCUGUAAACGUUACUGGGAUAUGGUGAACUCUGCGAGGCCAGACUCCCCCUUUGCCCGCUUUGUUGGGAACUGUCCCGUUCAGAGGGAGGAGGACUACAGUUUCAGUGAGGAAUCCACACAUCCCAGGACCCGACAUCACUACCUUCCUGAAGCAUUCUGUACUGUGGUGAAAGAUCCCACCCACAUCCUGGACGGAUAUGGUUUUUGGACUGGCAAGUGGCCAUGAUUGUGCGCCUGAACAAGGACUCUUCAUCCCCAGAUGAGGUUCAACACCUGCCCCAGUCUUUUUCUUUGGGGAACACUUCAGGCCUGAUUUUCUACCCGGACAUGCCGCAAGCCUGCAGGCGAUGUGGCAAGAAGGGCCAUGAGAAUAAGGACUGUAAGGAAGAUGCCUGCAGGUUCUGUUGAGUGCAACCUUUGCGGACAAGCAGCCCAUACCUACAAGGACGUCCCUCAGAGGAAAAGAGCAUGGGCAUCUGUUGCACCAAAAGCCCCAAAGCCAGCCCCAGGUCCGGAGCCAGCAGCACAGAAGGCCAAGGAAAAACCGGCUAAGAAGGAGGAGCUCUUCGCUGAGUCUAUCGGGCAGAAUGAAGAGAUCAAAGGGAUCACCGCAUCGGGACCUGAUCGCUCAACAUGGACGACGUGACCGUCUUCUGCGCUGAUCGGCGUUCGGUGACUGCACUUGUCCAUACCUGAGAGGACUUCGGCAGAGCUUCGGGGGCAAAAGUCAACUGUGGGAAGUCAGAAGCUAUGCUCUUCGGGGAAUGCCACCUGGCUUCUUGCGCCCCCUUCCCUUUUACUGUUAAACCAGACUUCAUCCAAAUCCUCGGAGUCUGGUUCGGGAAGGAACUGGCAAGACCAACUGAAUAAAAUGAACUCAAGGAUCGCACUUUAGAGUACUAGAUAGCUCUCGAUUGAGGACAAAACACUUGUCCUGCGGAGUGAAGUUUUGCCUGUGCUAUAGUACACUGCACAGGCAUGCCCCCCCCUUGCCACCGUUUGCAGGGCCAUCAUCUGGACUGUGUUUAGUUUCAUCUGGGGCAAAAUUUACAGAGUUAAACGGACUGUUAUGUACAAGGAGGCCAGCAAGGGUGGGAAGGGAAUCCCCAAUAUCCCCACUCUGCGGCGGGCUUCUUUUGCAUGUGUCAGCGUGCAGAGGACUUUGGUCGAAAAGAAAGGCUCCGCAGGCAGAUCCAUGUCCCGCCUGUUUCUCCAGCCCCACUGGAAGAGGAUUGGCUGGGACAAGUGGGACAGCUCCAUCCCCUACAACUGGCGCACUCCCUGGUUCUCUGGGGAUGUCGUCCGGUUCAUAGGGGAACACCAACUGGAAGGACUGGAGCCUGACUUGUGGAAGUCUAAGACUGUUUACAAGCUCAUCAGAGCUAAGGACUUGUGGAGCUCAUUCCAGGGCUCCCUAAGGCCACUGCAGAGACUGUUUGGGACAUUGUAGUCUCUGCAAGGCUAACCAAUGGACACAAGGACUUGUCGUGGAUGGCCAUUCAGGGGGGGACUAUCUCUGAGAUCAUUCAUGCAUGCCCGCGGCCUGUGCAAAACCAGGUACUACCCCAGGUGCCCCUAAGUGGAGGAAACAUCUAUGCACGGCUUUUGGCAGUGCCCCUUUGCGCAGGGUCUGUUGAACUCCUUGCCUGCAACAAAUUAACCCACAGGGGUUAAAAAAGACCGCUAUAUUGCAUGUGUCGCACAAAUAAUAAAACUUAACUUUUAUUGUGACCAAAUUAUAUAAUAUACUGUGAGUGAGGAACCAAAAGUAUUAAAAACACAGCUCCACUGUAGUCAUCGAUGCCAUGAUUGCUGUCAGUUGUCUCCUUGAUAAAGCCCCAUAAGUGGCGAAACAUGUCGGGGUGUGACAGUAUUGUAUUUUAAUCUUCAACCCCACUGUAGUCUAUGCUGAAAGAUAGCCGAUCAAUAAGGUUCAGGCCGAAUAGUCCACGCCUGCGGUGCACAGCAGGUGUUAGGUGCUAAGUGUUGUGACAUCUGGAAUAUACUUUAUGUGAUCAAACAUCGAUUUAAUGUCACAUAUAUAAGUGGCUUUAUAGUAGAGUGACUAUUGUCAUCUCUACUCUGGGGAUUAUAAUCCAGCAUCCCCAGAAUUUGCAAUAUCAAGAUCACACGUAUAAAUCUGGGACCAGAGACCUUUGAGUCCAAUUACAUUGAUCCACCAGUAUGGGAUGUCCAAUAUAUGACCUUUAGGCAUAUUUAUAGAAUCGAUGACUACAGCGGAGCUGUGUUUUUAAUACUUUUGGUUCCUCACUCAC
Long non-coding RNA from Hyla sarda, 3547 nucleotides. RefSeq lists it as uncharacterized. The transcript is spliced from 3 exons. NCBI's taxonomy places the organism in Eukaryota, Metazoa, Chordata, Amphibia, Anura, Hylidae. The record is from RefSeq and is a predicted model, not a curated record.